UCGUAUUGUUGGAUUAUAAUU
Molecule: non-coding RNA, 21 nt
Organism: Caenorhabditis elegans
Lineage: Eukaryota; Metazoa; Nematoda; Chromadorea; Rhabditida; Rhabditidae
Source: Ensembl